AGAGUUUGAUCCUGGCUCAGGACGAACGCUGGCGGCGUGCUUAACACAUGCAAGUCGAACGAGGUCCACGGUGUAGCAAUACACCUGAAGACCUAGUGGCGAACGGGUGCGUAACACGUGAGGAACUUGUCCCGGUCUCUGGGAUAACAGUUGGAAACGACUGCUAAUACCGGAUGACGUCGGAGCAUCGCAUGGUGCGCUGACGAAAGGGUUACUGGAUCGGGAGAGCCUCGCGGCCUAUCAGCUUGUUGGUGGGGUAACGGCCCACCAAGGCAUCGACGGGUAGCUGGUCUGAGAGGAUGAUCAGCCACACUGGGACUGAGACACGGCCCAGACUCCUACGGGAGGCAGCAGUGGGGAAUCUUGCGCAAUGGGCGAAAGCCUGACGCAGCAACGCCGCGUGCGGGAUGAAGGCUCUCGGGUUGUAAACCGCUUUCAGCAGGAACGAAAAUGACGGUACUUGCAGAAGAAGGUGCGGCCAACUAUGUGCCAGCAGCCGCGGUGAUACAUAGGCACCAAGCGUUGUCCGGAUUUAUUGGGCGUAAAGAGCUCGUAGGUGGUUCGGUAAGUCGGGUGUGAAAACUUUGGGCUCAACCCAAAGCCUGCAUCCGAUACUGCUGUGACUAGAGUUCGGUAGGGGAGCGGGGAAUUCCUAGUGUAGCGGUGAAAUGCGCAGAUAUUAGGAGGAACACCGGUGGCGAAGGCGCCGCUCUGGGCCGAUACUGACACUGAGGAGCGAAAGCGUGGGUAGCAAACAGGAUUAGAUACCCUGGUAGUCCACGCC
This 784-nucleotide ribosomal RNA is filed under the name wastewater metagenome. RNAcentral's name for it is "bacterial SSU rRNA". It matches the Rfam family "Bacterial small subunit ribosomal RNA", at positions 8 to 801 of the family's 1533-position model. The record is from RNAcentral.